RNAcentral lists this ribosomal RNA (443 nucleotides) under uncultured prokaryote. RNAcentral's name for it is "bacterial SSU rRNA". It matches the Rfam family "Bacterial small subunit ribosomal RNA", at positions 355 to 796 of the family's 1533-position model. The record is from RNAcentral.
UGGGGAAUCUUCGGCAAUGGCCGCCAGGCCGACCGAGCGACGCCGCGUGGGGGACGAAGGCCCUCGGGUUGUAAACCCCUGUCGCGGGGGAGCAAGGCCCUGUGCAGAGCAGGGCUUGAGCGAUCCCGGGAGGAAGCACGGGCUAAGUUCGUGCCAGCAGCCGCGGUAAGACGAACCGUGCGAACGUUAUUCGGAAUCACUGGGCUUAAAGCGCGUGUAGGCGGACGGCCGCGUCGGACGCUGAAAGGCCACGGCUCAACCGUGGCAGCGGCCCCGAUACGGGUCGUCUGGAGGGGCGUAGGGGGAGCUGGAACUCACGGUGGAGCGGUGAUAUGCGUUGAGAUCGUGAGGAACGCCCGCGGCGAAAGCGAGCUCCUGGACGCCUACUGACGCUGAGACGCGAAAGCCAGGGGAGCGAACGGGAUUAGAUACCCGGGUAGUCC